AAUUGCCAUAGCACAACAUAUAUAUUCUUAGUCGUCCAGUUAAAACACUAACUAAACCAAUCCCUCUUGCAAGAUGGUAUUUUAUGUAAUGAGUAAAGGAGGUGCUGUUUCUGAUGUGCAGUUAAGGAAACUUUUCAGUCGAUUUGAUGUGAAUAAAGACAAUCGUCUCAGCAAGGAGGAGAUAAGUGAAGCCUUGAGUCAACUUGGUGCAUUUCUUCCUGAUUAUAGAGCCGGCCGUGCGCUCACCCAUUGCGAUGCCAAUAAAGAUGGGUUCAUCGACUUAGACGAGUUUGACGAUUUCGUCAGUUACGCAGAGAGUAAGGGAUUUGAAAUUAAACUUUGACAACUACUUGUUAAAUGAAAGUUUAUUAGCAACAACUCGUUCAUGUACGUAGCAAUUAUAAACCUGUUAGUGUUGUUUGCUAGAAAAGGUUUCAGUUUGCAGAACUUCUGAAGGGGAUUUAUCUGCCCUGUUUCCAUAUGAUAAUAUAUAUUAUGUCAGUAUCAGCUGUUAUUAUUAUGGAAGAUAGAGGCAUGAUGAGCAUGUAAAAAAAUUUCUCAGAUCAUCUCUCUUGUUCUGCUGUUACUAUCAUGGAAGAAGCUCAGCAUCUUGUCUUUG
This 619-nucleotide unclassified non-coding RNA is filed under the name Hevea brasiliensis (rubber tree). The record is from RNAcentral. Lineage: Eukaryota; Viridiplantae; Streptophyta; Magnoliopsida; Malpighiales; Euphorbiaceae.